CAGUCGCCGCGGUAAUACGUAGGGUGCAAGCGUUAAUCGGAAUUACUGGGCGUAAAGCGUGCGCAGGCGGUUUGUUAAGACAGAUGUGAAAUCCCCGGGCUCAACCUGGGAACUGCAUUUGUGACUGGCAAGCUAGAGUGUGGCAGAGGGGGGUGGAAUUCCGCGUGUAGCAGUGAAAUGCGUAGAUAUCGAGAGGAACACUAGUGGCGAAGGCGAGAUCCUGGACAAUUUCUGACGCUGAUGCACGAAGGCCAGGGUAGCGAACGGGAUUAGAGACCCCUGUAGUCCCUGUCUCUUAUAC
This 301-nucleotide ribosomal RNA is filed under the name uncultured bacterium. Its description in RNAcentral is "partial 16S ribosomal RNA". It matches the Rfam family "Bacterial small subunit ribosomal RNA", at positions 509 to 807 of the family's 1533-position model. The record is from RNAcentral.